Molecule: transfer RNA, 73 nt
Filed under: Sillago sp. 1 SS-2021
Lineage: Eukaryota; Metazoa; Chordata; Actinopteri; Sillaginidae
Description: tRNA-Leu
Rfam family: tRNA
About the family: Transfer RNA (tRNA) molecules are approximately 80 nucleotides in length. Their secondary structure includes four short double-helical elements and three loops (D, anti-codon, and T loops).
Source: RNAcentral
GCUAAGGUGGCAGAACUCGGGUAUGCAAAAGGUCUAAGCCCUUUGGAUAGAGGUUCAAAUCCUCUCCUUAACU